GAUGAACGCUGGCGGCGUGCCUAAUACAUGCAAGUCGAGCGAACGGACGAGAAGUUUUCUCCCCUGAUGUUAGCGCCGGACGGGUGAGUAACUUGUGGAUAACCUAACUAUAAGACUGGGAUAACUAUGGGAAACCGGAUCUAAUACCGGAUAAUAUUUUGCACCGCAUGGUUCCAAAGUGAAAGACGCUCUUGCUGUCACUUAUAGAUGAACCCGCGCUGCAUUCGCUAGUUGGUAAGGUAACUGCUUACCAAGGCAACGAUGCAUAGCCGACCUGAGAGGGUGAACCGCUACACUGGAACUGAGACAGGGCCCAGACACCUAGGGUGGGACGCGGUAGAGAAUCUUCCGCAAUGGAGGAGAGCCUGACGGAGCACCGGCGCGUAAGUGAUGAGCGUGUUCUGAUCGGAGAGCUAUGUUAUUAGGAGGGAACAAAUGUGUAAGUAACUGGGAAGAUCAUGACGGUACCUAGUGAAAAAGCCACGGCUAACUACGUG
This 497-nucleotide ribosomal RNA is filed under the name uncultured bacterium. RNAcentral's name for it is "partial 16S ribosomal RNA". It matches the Rfam family "Bacterial small subunit ribosomal RNA", at positions 28 to 507 of the family's 1533-position model. The record is from RNAcentral.